This 525-nucleotide ribosomal RNA is filed under the name uncultured cyanobacterium. RNAcentral's name for it is "bacterial SSU rRNA". It matches the Rfam family "Bacterial small subunit ribosomal RNA", at positions 115 to 655 of the family's 1533-position model. Lineage: Bacteria; Bacillati; Cyanobacteriota. The record is from RNAcentral.
ACGUGAGGAACUUGUCCAUCGGCGGGGGAUAGCCGGCCCAACGGCCGGGUAAUACCGCGUACGUCGGCGGGAUCGCAUGGUCCUGCCGGGAAAGCAGCAAUGCACCGAUGGAGAGCCUCGCGGCCUAUCAGCUAGUUGGUGAGGUAAUGGCUCACCAAGGCGACGACGGGUAGCUGGUCUGAGAGGAUGAUCAGCCACAUUGGGACUGAGACACGGCCCAGACUCCUACGGGAGGCAGCAGUGGGGAAUAUUGCGCAAUGGGCGAAAGCCUGACGCAGCGACGCCGCGUGUGGGAUGACGGCCUUCGGGUUGUAAACCACUGUCGCGAGGGACGAAGAUCUGACGGUACCUCGAAAGGAAGCACCGGCUAACUCUGUGCCAGCAGCCGCGGUAAUACAGAGGGUGCAAGCGUUGUCCGGAAUUACUGGGCGUAAAGGGCGCGUAGGCGGUCCGAUAAGUAGGGGGUGAAAUCUCACGGCUCAACCGGGAGGCUGCCUUCUAGACUGUCGGACUGAGCACGGUAGA